RNAcentral lists this ribosomal RNA (497 nucleotides) under uncultured bacterium. Its description in RNAcentral is "partial 16S ribosomal RNA". It matches the Rfam family "Bacterial small subunit ribosomal RNA", at positions 28 to 507 of the family's 1533-position model. The record is from RNAcentral.
GACGAACGCUGGCGGCGUGCCUAAUACAUGCAAGUCGAACGCAUGUUCUAGAAGCUUGCUUUUCUGAUGUUAACGACAGUCGGUGGAGUAACACGUGGAAAAACUACCUUAAAGACUGGGAUAACUUCGGGAAACCCUAGCUAACACCGGAUAAUAUUGUAUAACUCAUUUUUCAAAAGUGAAAGACGGUCUUGCUCUCACUUAUAGCACGAUCCGCGCUGCAUUCGCUAGUUGGUAGGGUAACGGCUUACAAAGGCAACGAUGAAUAGCCUACCUAGGCGGGGAACGGGCACCAUGGGAACUGGGACAGGGUCCAGACUCCUACGGGAGGAAGCAGUGGGAAAUUUUGGGAAAUGGGGGAAAGCCUGACGGACCAAGGCCGGGUGGUGAAGAAAGGUCUUCGGUUCGAAAACCCUUUUUAUUGGGAAGAAACAGAUGGGUAGGUGAAAGUGCACACCUUGACGGUACCUAACCAGAAAGCCACGGCUAACUACGUG